Molecule: long non-coding RNA, 529 nt
Organism: Melanotaenia boesemani (Boeseman's rainbowfish)
Lineage: Eukaryota; Metazoa; Chordata; Actinopteri; Atheriniformes; Melanotaeniidae
Exons: 5
Source: RefSeq, a predicted model, not a curated record
CUGCAGGCGGCUCACCUGACCAGUCCGGUCAGCGCUCUGCCGUGUUUUCGGCUCCUUAAUGGCCAGUUCUUGGUCCCUUUUGGAUCCCAGAUGCCAGCCCGUCCUGCUGCAGCCACCCUGAACCCCUGCCGCUCACAGAAGAGGAAGCGUGAUGACAACGACGGGCUGCCAUGUGUCAAAAAGCCACGCAACGCCUGAAGCUAAUGACGUGUCUAAGUGGCCGUCUUGAAGUGUGGUUCCAGAGGGUUGACCAGAAGUUCUGGGAUCCCGCCUGAGAUCACCACUUCACUAAGUUUUACAUUUCAAUGAAAUGUUUAACUUUUGUAUAUAGUUCACUUUUGUUCUUUGAUGUUUUUUUUCAUUUUACAUGUAAAUAGUUCUGAAAUUUAAAAUUUGAAAAUUUAUUUCCUGUAUAUACUGUCCCUCUGCAGUGUCCACCAUCUACCUGCAGAUCAUCCACCUGCAGCCACCACCAUCGUGUUACAAAAACCCAGCCUCCCAUCUCCACCUGCAGCCACCACCAUCGGCU